AGCAGCCGCGGUAAUUCCAGCUCCAAUAGCGUAUAUUAAAGUUGUUGCAGUUAAAAAGCUCGUAGUUGAAUUUCGGGAUCAAAUUGUUGGUCGUGCCUCGGUACGCACUGGUAUUAUUGGUUCCUACCUUCUGAAGAACCGCGAUGUCAUUAAUUUGGUGUCGUGGGGAAUCAGGACUGUUACUUUGAAAAAAUUAGAGUGUUUAAAGCAGGCUUACGCUUGAAUACAUUAGCAUGGAAUAAUGAAAUAGGACGUUUGAUUCUAUUUUGUUGGUUUCUAGGAUUGACGUAAUGAUUAAUAGGGAUAGUUGGGGGCAUUAGUAUUCAAUUGUCAGAGGUGAAAUUCUUGGAUUUAUUGAAGACUAACUACUGCGAAAGCAUUUGCCAAGGAUGUUUUCAUUAAUCAAGAACGAAAGUUAGGGGAUCGAAGACGAUCAGAUACCGUCGUAGUCUUAACCAUAAACUAUGCCGACUAGGGAUCGGAUGAUGUUAAUUUUUAAUGACUCAUUCGGCGCCUUAGG
This 520-nucleotide ribosomal RNA is filed under the name uncultured Glomus. Its description in RNAcentral is "SSU rRNA". It matches the Rfam family "Eukaryotic small subunit ribosomal RNA", at positions 569 to 1092 of the family's 1831-position model. Lineage: Eukaryota; Fungi; Glomeromycota; Glomeromycetes; Glomerales; Glomeraceae. The record is from RNAcentral.